GAUGAACGCUAGCUACAGGCUUAACACAUGCAAGUCGAGGGGUAACGAGAGGAAAGCUUGCUUUCCUUGUCGACGACCGGCGCACGGGUGAGUAACGCGUAUCCAACCUGCCCCCAACUAGGGAAUAACCUUGCGAAAGUAAGACUAAUACCCUAUAAUUUCCUCAGAUGUCAUCUGACGAGGAUUAAAGAUUUAUCGGUUGGGGAUGGGGAUGCGUCUGAUUAGCUUGUUGGCGGGGUAACGGCCCACCAAGGCAACGAUCAGUAGGGGUUCUGGGAGGAAGGUCCCCCACAUUGGAACUGAGACACGGUCCAAACUCCUACGGGAGGCAGCAGUGUGGAAUAUUGGUCAAUGGGCGGAAGCCUGAACCAGCCAAGUAGCGUGCAGGAUGACGGCCCUAUGGGUUUAAACUGCUUUUAUACAGGAAUAAAGUUAGCCACGUGUGGUUAUUUGUAGGUACUGUAUGAAUAAGGACCGGCUAAUUCCGUGCCAGCCGCCGCCGUAA
Molecule: ribosomal RNA, 505 nt
Filed under: uncultured bacterium
Lineage: Bacteria
Description: partial 16S ribosomal RNA
Rfam family: Bacterial small subunit ribosomal RNA
Source: RNAcentral